Molecule: ribosomal RNA, 277 nt
Filed under: uncultured bacterium
Lineage: Bacteria
Description: partial 16S ribosomal RNA
Rfam family: Bacterial small subunit ribosomal RNA
Source: RNAcentral
GACGAACGCUGGCGGCGUGCUUAACACAUGCAAGUCGAGCGGGAUCCAUCUAGUCGCAAGACUGGGGAAGAUCUAGCGGCGAACGGGUGAGUAACACGUGAGAAACCUGCCCUGAAGUCUGGGAUAACCCGAGGAAACUCGAGCUAAUACCGGAUGCCUUCAUUUGAUCGCAUGGUCGAAUGAAGAAAGAUUCAUUGCUUCAGGAGGGUCUCGCGGCCUAUCAGCUAGUUGGCGGGGUAACGGCCCACCAAGGCGUCGACGGGUAGCUGGUCUGAGA